This 433-nucleotide ribosomal RNA is filed under the name uncultured bacterium. RNAcentral describes it as "partial 16S ribosomal RNA". It matches the Rfam family "Bacterial small subunit ribosomal RNA", at positions 29 to 507 of the family's 1533-position model. The record is from RNAcentral.
AACGAACGCUGGCGGCAUGCCUAACACAUGCAAGUCGAACGAAGCCUUCGGGCUUAGUGGCGCACGGGUGCGUAACGCGUGGGAAUCUGCCCCUUGCUUCGGAAUAACAGUUAGAAAUGACUGCUAAUACCGGAUGAAGUCUUCGGACCAAAGAUUUAUCGGCAAGGGAUGAGCCCGCGUAGGAUUAGGUAGUUGGUGGGGUAAGGGCCUACCAAGCCGACGAUCCUUAGCUGGUCUGAGAGGAUGAUCAGCCACACUGGGACUGAGACACGGCCCAGACUCCUACGGGAGGCAGCAGUGGGGAAUAUUGGACAAUGGACGCAAGUCUGAUCCAGCAAUGCCGCGUGAGUGAUGAAGGCCUUAGGGUUGUAAAGCUCUUUUACCAGGGAUGAUAAUGACAGUACCUGGAGAAUAAGCUCCGGCUAACUCCGUG